This 6584-nucleotide long non-coding RNA is filed under the name Lupinus angustifolius (narrow-leaved blue lupine). RNAcentral describes it as "long non-coding RNA (LANG_LNC001337)". Lineage: Eukaryota; Viridiplantae; Streptophyta; Magnoliopsida; Fabales; Fabaceae. The record is from RNAcentral.
UGAAGGAUUAUUCAUUUUGAGUUGAUCAUCAGUGUUCUGGACAUGUUACUGGGUUUACAUUAUGUUAAACCUUGUGUGUAUACUUUAGGCUAAUUGUGUCAGGAUAAUGCCAGUUAUCUGAUCUUCUUUAUACUUUCUUUACCUGUAAUGAUGCUUAUUGUGUGUGAUCAUUACAAAGCUUUAUGGCUUUAUCUUUCUCUAUUUCAUUCAUGGUAUUCCUCUAUUUCCAUGUUUCCUUUAUAUCCCGAAUAUUGCUUCAACUGGGCCACCUAUAUAUGUACUCAUUCUCACUUAACAAUGAAAUUCACAUAAUAAUAUAUGUACUCAUUCUCACUUAACAAUGAAAUUCACAUAAUAAUAUAUGUACUCAUUCUCACUUAACAAUGAAAUUCACAUAAUAAUAUAUGUACUCAUUCUCACUUAACAAUGAAAUUCACAUAAUAAUAUAUGUACUCAUUCUCACUUAACAAUGAAAUUCACAUAAUAAUAUAUGUACUCAUUCUCACUUAACAAUGAAAUUCACAUAAUAAUAUAUGUACUCAUUCUCACUUAACAAUGAAAUUCACAUAAUAAUAUGCUAAGGUUCUUAACUUUACUCUAACCUAUUUUGUGUGCAUGAAAACUUGUGCAUAUAUCUUCUAUUUGUCUGUUUUCAAAAUGUAUUCUAACAUCUUUUAUAAUACUGCAAUAAAUUCCAAGCUACUAAUGAUUUUAACAGAUAAUUAUUAAAAAAAGAAUUUCGAUAAACUUUAGGUGUGGAGUUCUUGCCCAUACAUUUUGUUAACAUUGUACUACACUUCAAUUAAUCUAAUCUCCAUAAUGGGGCUUUUGACAAUCUCUCAAAUUAUAAAAUCAACAAGUGUAAUUCUCCUAUCUAUUCAGUAAUGAGUUACCUCCACUUUCUCCUUAAUAUAUAAUAUUGAUGAGCUGAUAGUGUAAAGAAUUAUACACCAUCAGUGCAUCAUUUACCCUUCAUUUGGUUUAUUUUUUUUUUGAAAAGUCAAACAUAAUUGAAAAUGAAUGAUAGAUAAUACAAUGACAGUAUAAAAAACUCUUACACUAUUAAUGUAUACAUCUUUUUCUCAUAUAUUUUUUAGUGUAUCCAUUCAUUCAACAAAAUAUUCAUUACAAGGCUUUAUAGCACCACUUUUAAUUUCACCCCUUUCUUUCCAUAAUUAUCAUUUUACCCAACAAUCUUAUUGUUUAUGUCAUUGGACACUAAGAAUGGUUACAAUACAAUUAAUUUUUUGCCUCAUAACUUCAAAUUUGAACCACAAAUGUUUUGUAUGGAAAAUCUCAUAAUGCCCUAAAUUUAUUUUCCCUCUUAAAACCCUUAUUCUUCUUCAUCUCACUAUUAUGGCGAAUUCUUCAUUCUCCCAAAUCCCACACAUCAUUUCUUUCAUUCUCUCCAACCUUUUAUUUUCAAGAAUCAAACUCAUCCUCUCAAAUUCAUUUGCUCGAUUUGGGUUCAAUUUUUCUUCUCAUUUCGUUGCCUCUUCUGUUGAAACUAAUAUCUAUGUCAAAAUGACUCAUGCUUGCUACCAGGGUGAGCUAGAUCCGUCCCUACCUGCUCAACCGGUACAGUCCAAUCAUAAUCGGGUCUGAAAAAAACGGUCUCAUCGGAUCUAGGACCAGGUUCAAAUUAAAAAAUUAGAUCUACACAAUAUUUAGGGUUGGGUAUGGACCAAACAAAAAAACAUCUUUGACCUCAGUGGCAGAUCUUAGACCCUUAGGCAGGGUGAGCAAAAUAACUUAAAAAUGAAAUAAUAAAUAUUAUUAAUUAUAAAAAAGGAAAACAUUAAUGUUAAAAUUACAAAUUUUAAAUAUAUUUAAUCAAGUAAAUUAUAUAUUUCUUAAUUAGUUUUUAUGUUAUUUUACAUUUUGAAAUCGUUGAAUAAUCAAUGUUAUUGAACAUUUCUCGCUAAAUAUAAGUUACAAGACAAACAUUCAUUCAUGCAUAUUUCAUUCGAUUACAUCUUGAGGUGAUCGGUUAUUCGGAUUCAGACUAUGCAGGAUGUAUGGAUUCACGGAAAUCUACAUUUGGGUAUAUCUUCCUAAUGGCUGGAGGAGCCAUUUCAUGGAGAAGCGGUAGAGAGUCUACAAUUGCUACGUCCACCAUGGAAGCUGAGUUUGUGGCAUGCUUUGAAGCCACAAAUCAUGUAUUAUGGAUGCAGAACUUUACUUUAGGGCUUGAUAUUAUAGAUAGUGUAGCUAGGCCAUUGAAGUUUUAUUGUGAUAAUUCCGCAGCUGUCUUCUUCUCUAAGAAUAACAGGUAUUCUAGAGAUACUAAACAUAUGGAUUUAAAGUUUCUGUCAGUUAAAGAAGAAGUACGGAAACAGAAAGUGUCUAUAGAGCAUAUUAGUAUCGAUUUAAUGGUAGCGGAUCCGUUAACUAAAGGAUUGUCGCCCAAGAUUUACAUUGGCCAUGUAGAAAGGAUGGGCAUUAUAGAUAAGUCCUUGUUAAUGUGAUUAUAUAUGAUAUAUAUAUAUAUACAUGUAUGGAUGUUUGCUCAUUAUUGCAUGACACAUUUGAAUUCAAUGAAAGCUUCAUUUCCGUAAUUAAAGUUUAAGUUAUCUAUAUUACAGAAUGUACUUGUAUGGUUUUGAUGAGAUAACUUGGUGAGUCUUUGAAAAGUAGAUGAAGACUCAAAUUAAAGUGAGUUGGGUUGAGAUGAUUGUGAUACAUGGAAGUGUUGACGUGAAUAUGGUUAGAGUGUGACUCGGUUGUGGUGAUGAACAUUUUCAAAGAUAAAGCUAAGUCUUUGUGGAAGCUACUGAAUAGAUGACUAUUGUGCAAGAAUUUAUUAUCUUCAAUGAGUUUCACAAUCUCUCAUAUCUAUAGAGAAGUAAAUAGUUGUGUGGACAAAUUGGCUAAUUAUAGUAUCUCAUCUAAGUCUUAUUCUUGGUGGAGUUGAAUCCCAAAUUUCAUCCAUGAAGAUUGCUCUAGAAAUGUGUUAGGUCUUCCUAGCUAUAGAUUCAAAAACUUGUAAUUUGCUCAUCUUGGUCCUUUUGUAAUGGUUAUCUCUGUAAAUAUAUAAUUUUGGUGUUGUUGUACUUUGUUUAAAAAAGUAUUGAAUGCAAAUUAAGGGUACUGUGAUUAUGUAUAACCUUUUAUUAUUGAUAUGAUUAUCUAGUUUCAAAGUGAUAAAACAUCAAUUUCAAACAAUAACAUGGGAAUGCUACUAGGAGACAUAGUUAAAAAAUCAUAAUUUAAUUUAAAUGGUCGAUUUCAAUCAAUUUUUAUUGAUAUGGACUAAUAUAAUUGCAUAUUGGAUAUAAUUAUUAUAUUGUAUUAAUAUAAGUCUCAAGUUUUCAAUUUUAUGAUUGAAACAUUAUCUAAAUUUAUUAUUACCUCUACUAAAUCUAAAGAUAGGAGAUAAUAGCAUUUAAUCAAAUCAAUUCAUGUUUUAAUUAGUUCCAAAAUAUUAAAUACCAAAGAAAAAUUAGAUUUUAAAUUUAAAUAAAUCAAAUAAUUAUUUUAGUUUUAUUCUAAACUAUUAAGGAGGUGCUUUUCACACUUGUAAAGCAUGUCUCUAGCAAAUUUUUGCAUAUCCACGUGUAUCGUUUAUUAUUUAUAAUUAAAUAUCAUUGAGUUUACAAAAUACAAAUAAAUAAUUAAUGAUGUACCAAUUAUUGUAAAAUUCUUAUAGUAAUAAUAUAUAUAUUACACUUUAUAUUUUUCAUUACAAUUCCUAUAAUCUAAAUAAAUUUAUAAAAAAAGGUAAUGUUUGUUCUCUGUUUAUUUACAAAAUAUAAUAUAAUAUUUUGUUAAAUUAAGAAAUAAUAAAAUAAAACCAAGAGGUUUCUAUUUUCUUAAAUCACCCAAAUUCUUAAACGGUAUUCCCCGAUUCUUACGCAGUCGUAUCGCCAGUUGAUCUCAGACGGCGGCACAUCCAUCCCCCCGGCGUUACUUCGCAGGUUCAUAUCGCAUAGUUUCAUGCUUAGAUCAUUUUCAAUUCUCUACCAAAUUUUCUCUUUAUCUCACUAUUUCCAUUUAUAAUUAAAGUUAUCUUUUCUUUCCCCAAAAUAAUCGAAAGCAAUUUUGCACACUAUCUUCGUUUUAUAAUGCAAAAAUUCAUAAAUUCAAUUGAUAUAGCCAUUCAUUUCUUUCGUUAUAUGCUACAUAUUGAUAUGAAUGGCACCAAUUUGUAGUUUUCAAUGAUUUGAAAUUAUUGUUCUUAUGAUUGUCACUAUUGUAUUCUGAGUUUGUGCUCUUUUAUUGUUAGCACUAUGUGUUAUGAAUUAUGAGAAAUGAGUUUGUAUUUGAUACAUGUUACUUGGUAUUUGCUUUGCUUUCAAUCUUAGUAUUAUGAUUAUAUGGUGUAUGAUGUAUUUGUGAGUGUAAGAUACUUGAAUUAUGUGGAUAAUUUGUGUUUGAUUCUUUAAUUUUAUUUGGUUCUAAUUUAAAUGUUAUCUUUCUUGGUUGAAAUUCAACUUGAACAUGAAAGUUUGCUGGUUUAUUUUAUGGUCUGAGCGAGAAAGUAGCAUAAAAAAGAGAGUAGAAGAGAGAUGUUGAGGCCGAUGGUGCAGCCGAUAGGGCAGAAGAGGCUAACAAAUGUGGCAGUGGUGCGUCUCAAGAAGCAUGGCAUGCGAUUUGAAAUUGCCUGCUACCCAAACACUGUUCUUUCUUGGCGUUCCGGCGUGUAAGCUUAUUAAUACCUUCUAGAAUGUCUGAUUUUUAGGCUUGGUGUUUAGGUUUAAUGUGAAAAUAGGAUGUGUUUGCAUGUUUGAUAACAGGGAGAAGGACAUUGAUGAAGUGUUGCAGUCACAUACUGUUUAUUCUAAUGUUUCGAAAGGGGUUCUUGCUAAGACAAAGGAUUUGAAUGCAGCUUUUGGGACUGAUGACCAGUCCAAGAUAUGCUUAGAGGUAAGAUCAGAAAAACAAAACCUUUUGAGGAAAUUUGUGUGAUGUGAUGGUUGAAUAAUAAAGCUUUUGUGUUGCAGAUUUUAAAGAAAGGGGAGCUUCAGGUCGCUGGUAAAGAGAGGGAGUCUAUCCUGUCGAGUCAGUUCAGGGAUAUUGCUACCAUUGUGAUGCAGAAGACCUACAAUCCUGAGACUCAGCGCCCUUACACUAUCAGUAUGAUUGAACGCCUCAUGAGGGAAAUUCAUUUUGCUGUUGACCCAAAUAGCACAUCCAAGAAGCAGGUCUCUGGCAUCAUUGUUUCUUUGUGAAUAAUUAGAUUUCAAUUAUUAAGUUAUUAUGUAAUCAUGGUAAUUAGAAAAUUGUUAUAUAUACAGGCUCUGGAGUUGAUUCAAGAGCUUCAAAAGCUUUUCCCAAUAAAACGGUGUCCAUUAAGAAUACGAGUUGCAGCUCCUGAGGAGGAAUUUGCUGCCCUUUUAGAGAAGCUGAAUGAAUGGAAGGCAAACAUUGUUUCCAAAGAAGGAUCUGCUGGUCAGCUAUCUGUUGUAAGUCCUUAUUAUUCUUCAUAUAGUAGUAAACAAGUUUUGUUCAUGGUUCAAUUCCCAAUUCAAUUUAGGUACACUACUUUUUGUAGUUGUUCACAGUCACAAAUUUAGCUAAAAGUAUCAUUAUUCUUCGUCUUUUUUGAAGAGUUCUUUACCUUUUUAUUCAUAAAAAAGUCAUCCUUUUAGAUAGCUAUGUUGAUGAUUCUUGGAGUAGGUCGGUAACUUUCUUUCCCCACUUUUUUGUGGUUUGUGAUUUGAAGUAACCUAUGUUAAUCAGCAAAAUAAAACUAGAAAUAUCUUGACCAAGUAUCCAGUUCAAUCAGUUGUUGUUGGUGUUGUCUGUUUAUGUUGGAUAUUUGGUGUGAGGUUGCUGUUGCUUAUAGGCAUUUUCAACAGUGACAUGAAUAAGACUACUAAACUGUGCAUAAUUCAAAUUUCAAAAUGUGGGUCUAGUAUGUGUAGAUGCAUGUAUGUGUCGGGUUAAUCUUGAAUAUGCCAUCUGUUGGGGGGGAAACGGUAUAAUGCCUGAAUGGUAUGCAGGUUUUUGAAUUGGAACCAAGUCUUUAUAAGGAUUGCCAUGACUUUGUUAUGAAGAACAUGCAUGGAAGAUUUGAAGUUCUUGCACACUCUCUUUAUGUUGAUGGGGAUACCCAAGUGGAGCAAUACAAUGAUUAUGAGGAUAUGCCUGCUCCUCUGCCCAAAGAAACUCGUGAAUCUGUGCUCGAACUGAAUGAUAAACUUCAAAAGCAGACAAUUUCAUCUACAAGUAGGCUUACUGAGGGACACCAACAAAAGCAAAACAAGUGCAACACAUGCAAUGUUUCUUUCGAAGACACAAAACUGUACAGGGAACACCACAAGAGUGAGUGGCACAAGCACAAUAUGAAGCGGAAGACAAGGCAACUCCCACCCCUUACUGAGGAAGAGUGCAUUGCAGACAUGGAAUUAAGUGACUCAAAAUCUGAUCUGAAGGAUUAUUCAUUUUGAGUUGAUCAUCAGUGUUCUGGACAUGUUACUGGGUUUACAUUAUGUUAAACCUUGUGUGUAUACUUUAGGCUAAUUGUGUCAGGAUAAUGCCAGUUAUCUGAUCUUCUUUAUACUUUCUUUACCUGUAAUGAUGCUUAUUGUGUGUGAUCAUUACAAAGCUUUAUGGCUUUAUCUUUCUCUAUUUCAUUCAUG